UACGUAGGGUGCAAGCGUUGUCCGGAAAUAUUGGGCGUAAAGAGCUCGUAGGCGGUUCGGCAAGUCACGUGUGAAAUCUCCACGCUCAACGUGGAGGCGCCACGUGAGACUGCUGUGACUCGAGUCCGGUAGGGGAGCGUGGAAUUCCCGGUGUAGCGGUGAAAUGCGCAGAGAUCGGGAGGAACACCCGUAGCGAAGGCGGCGCUCUGGGCCGGUACUGACGCUGAGGAGCGAAAGCGUGGGGAGCAAACAGG
RNAcentral lists this ribosomal RNA (254 nucleotides) under uncultured bacterium. RNAcentral describes it as "partial 16S ribosomal RNA". It matches the Rfam family "Bacterial small subunit ribosomal RNA", at positions 524 to 776 of the family's 1533-position model. The record is from RNAcentral.